AGAGUACGUGAAACCGCUUAGAGGUAAACGGGUGGAUCCGCAAAGUCGGCCCGGGGAAUUCAACUUGCCGUUGGAGGACCCUUGGGUCAGGGAUCCGUAAGGACCCGCCUGGCGUUCGGCUGUCGUCGGCGAGUGCACUUUCCUCGGGUAUAGCGCCACGACCGGUUUCGGGGCAGUCAGAAGCCAGUCGGGAAGGUAGCCUGCCCUUCGGGGGAGGUGUUAUAGCCCGGCCAGGUCGGCUCGUCUCGAGACCGAGGAUUUGCCGCGUCUCAUUGCCCACGGCUCUCUUCCUGCGUUCGACUGGGGAAGCACUGCUUGCAGUUCUCCCCGACCGCGUGGGUCGAUUCGGUCGUGAAGCACGAGGCGCUUCGGGUCAGUGGCGAAUCGGUCGGUCCUCCACCCGAC
RNAcentral lists this ribosomal RNA (405 nucleotides) under Modiolus modiolus (northern horsemussel). RNAcentral's name for it is "partial 28S ribosomal RNA". Lineage: Eukaryota; Metazoa; Mollusca; Bivalvia; Mytilida; Modiolidae. The record is from RNAcentral.